Non-coding RNA from Lactuca sativa (garden lettuce), 1653 nucleotides. NCBI's taxonomy places the organism in Eukaryota, Viridiplantae, Streptophyta, Magnoliopsida, Asterales, Asteraceae. The record is from RefSeq and is a predicted model, not a curated record.
UUUAAAUGGAUGCUAAACGAUUAAUUAGUUUCUUAUCAUGAUACUUUGUGCUUAUGAAUUUUUGCACAAUCUUAAACAUUUAUGUUUUAAACAAUUUCUUAUGAAUUGUCGUUUAGGAAUUUAAUUAUUUCAUUUUUUUCGUUGGAUGUUUGAAGCCAUCGAAAAUGACUAUACCAUUGGCAAUCAUAUUUCUUCCACCACCGUCGUCGCCCCCUUCUACCCUUCCGCCAAACAAUAUCCACCUCCUCUAACUGAUUCUUUUUAAUCCUGUAAAUUGCAGACAAUCGUUCUUUCCCUCUCUGUCUCACAUAAAAAACCCUUAAUUUCUCCUGUCUCGCUCUUCCUAUAUCACUGAAGAUAUGGUGAAACUUCAGCAGCUCUUUCAACUUUGUUAUUUGAUUGAUUGGAUUUGAGUAAAAAAUUGGCCUCAGGUAUGUUAUAACACAGUCGAUGAUUUAAUUUCAGUUCCGCCCUUUUUUGUAAUGAAGCACACCUUUGUCCAUUCUCCAUCUUCUUUUUUUUCGAUCCAUGAUUUUAUCGGAUUGGGGCUAAUCGGUUUCAAUCUGAAUCGAAACAAUCAAUAUCGUGUCGUCCCUCUAUCUACUUCUCUUUUGAUCCAGAAACCCCUUUCUCUAAUUGUUUAUGUGUGUGUACUGGUCCUGAAAUUGAUUGCUUCGAUACUUGUUUCCACUGCCUUAAUACUUAACCAUCGCUUUAGAUGUUUGUUUCUCGCUUAGUUCGUAGGUUCCCUGGUGAUGCCGCUUGCUUUGAAAAACUCAAUGAAUGCCUAUCUAAUGGUGGCAGGUGUCUCAUUGCUAUGGGAUUUGAUCUACUGGAGGCGCUGUCAUGGGUUCAGGUGAACCUUCGAUUUUCUUAAGGCCUAAACUCAAGAACACAUCACAUUGUGGUGAUCUGACCUCAAUUCCAUGUAAAUGUAUACAACAUAUAUUAAUUAUUUACCUGUUAUGCAUUGAAAAUUCUUCAAGUUACCGAAUUUAUGCUUGCUCAAAAGGGUUUGGUCCCUGGAAUGAUCUUAUUUUGCUUUGUGUUUUUUGUUCUAGAGUUGUAUAAUUUUCUUUGUUGGCGAAUAGGUAUCUUGGUAGAAUGGGCAGCAAAAGAUAGCUCCAACUCCAGAGGUGAAUUCCAAUUUCCACCUUCCUUUUCUAUGAAUUAUCAGUCUUGCUUAAGGAUAAUGGCAGCAGGAACAUAUAGAGUUCCUCAAUAUAUAUUUACAGUUUUCCUUUGGUGUGCAAUGAUGAGAUAUCGACAAAAUAGAGAAAGUCAACUGCUCGGUUGUAGUCAUACAUGGACGAUAACGUAACCAAAGAGCUGAUUUUUAGGAUAUGAUAUACAUUCCUGAAGUAGGAAAUGGGCGGGAAAAGAAAUGAGAAUAAAGGCAGGAGAAUGACACGUGGAUUGCUGGGGGUUUAAGGAGGGGACAAGUGGCAUUUAGGGGAGGCAGUUAUUAGGAAUGGAUAUUUAUUAUGUAUCGGUAUUUUAGGGGAACUUACUAAGCUUUAGACUUACAGUUUUGGAUUAUAUUUCAGCUACCUCAGAGGAUCGUGGGAAGGCAAAGAUGUGAUCGUGCACCUCCUCAUGUUUUUGUUUUAUAAUUUUGGGAUUUCUGCAAUGUGAAGCUUAUUUUGAAAACAA